This 275-nucleotide long non-coding RNA is filed under the name Medicago truncatula (barrel medic). RNAcentral's name for it is "lncRNA gene45853". Lineage: Eukaryota; Viridiplantae; Streptophyta; Magnoliopsida; Fabales; Fabaceae. The record is from RNAcentral.
UUGUAGAUAUAUUUAUCACACAUAACCAGGUCUUCAUGGAAGUUGAAAACCAAAAGGGGUUGUGGAUUCAACUCCCACAGUAGCAUUUCUAACAAUUUCUAACAUAUACCAUAAAAAAUCAACAUUAAUUAAAAAAAAUACUAACCAGUUUAAUCACAUAAAAAACAUGUCAUCAAUUGAACAAAACAAUACAGCAACCUAAAUACAAGUACAUCAAUGAAAAUCAUAACUAUAAACUGACAAAAGGAUACAAAUCGGACAACAAAUCGGUACUU